UACGUAGGGGGCUAGCGUUGUCCGGAAUCAUUGGGCGUAAAGCGCGCGUAGGCGGCCCGGUAAGUCCGCUGUAAAAAAGUCCAGGGCUCAACCCUGGAAAGCCGGUGGAUACUGUCGGGCUCGAGUCCGGAAGAGGCGAGUGGAAUUCCUGGUGUAGCGGUGGAAUGCGCAGAUAUCAGGAGGAACACCAAUGGCGAAGGCAGCUCGCUGGGGACGGUACUGACGCUAAGGCGCGAAAAGCGUGGGGAGCAAACAGG
Molecule: ribosomal RNA, 257 nt
Filed under: uncultured bacterium
Lineage: Bacteria
Description: partial 16S ribosomal RNA
Rfam family: Bacterial small subunit ribosomal RNA
Source: RNAcentral